CCCUUUGUACACACCGCCCGUCGCUACUACCGAUUGAAUGGUUUAGUGAAGCCGUUGGAUUGGUUUCGUUGCAGUGGCUUUGCCGCUCGACAGAUGCCAAGAAGACGACCUAACUUGACUAUUUAGGGGAAGGAAAAGUCUUAACAAGGUUUCCGUUGGUGAACCUGCGGAAGGAUCAUUA
RNAcentral lists this non-coding RNA (181 nucleotides) under Trichobilharzia regenti. RNAcentral describes it as "Eukaryotic small subunit ribosomal RNA". It matches the Rfam family "Eukaryotic small subunit ribosomal RNA", at positions 1656 to 1831 of the family's 1831-position model. The record is from Rfam by way of RNAcentral. Lineage: Eukaryota; Metazoa; Platyhelminthes; Trematoda; Strigeidida; Schistosomatidae.